RNAcentral lists this unclassified non-coding RNA (240 nucleotides) under soil metagenome. RNAcentral's name for it is "partial contains 5.8S ribosomal RNA, internal transcribed spacer 2, and large subunit ribosomal RNA". The record is from RNAcentral.
AACCAUAGAAACCUGCGGAGUACCUGCGGAAGGAUCAUUAUUGAACUGUGUUUUUCAAAAACACUUACUCGAUGGGUUGUCGCUGGCUCCUCUGGAGCAUGUGCACGCCUGUCUUGACUUCAUUCAUCCACCUGUGCACCACUUGUAGUCUUUGAGGGGUCUGAGAGAGUGGCUGACUUGUCGGGAAUUCUCCCGGAUGUGAGGACUGCAGUGUGAAAGCACGGCUCUCUUCUACCUGGC